GAUGAACGCUGGCGGCGUGCCUAAUACAUGCAAGUCGAGCGAACAGAUGAGGAGCUUGCUCCUCUGACGUUAGCGGCGGACGGGUGAGUAACACGUGGAUAACCUACCUAUAAGACUGGGAUAACUUCGGGAAACCGGAGCUAAUACCGGAUAAUAUAUUGAACCGCAUGGUUCAAUAGUGAAAGACGGUUUUGCUGUCACUUAUAGAUGGAUCCGCGCCGCAUUAGCUAGUUGGUAAGGUAACGGCUUACCAAGGCAACGAUGCGUAGCCGACCUGAGAGGGUGAUCGGCCACACUGGAACUGAGACACGGUCCAAACUCCUACGGGAGGCAGCAGUAGGGAAUCUUACGCAAUGGGCGAAAGCUUGACGGAGCAACGCCGCGUGAGUGAUGAAGGUCUUCGGAUCGUAAAACUCUGUUAUUAGGGAAGAACAAAUGUGUAAGUAACUAUGCACGUCUUGACGGUACCUAAUCAGAAAGCCACGGCUAACUACGUG
Molecule: ribosomal RNA, 497 nt
Filed under: uncultured bacterium
Lineage: Bacteria
Description: partial 16S ribosomal RNA
Rfam family: Bacterial small subunit ribosomal RNA
Source: RNAcentral